GGGAUAUUGGACAAUGGGGGGAACCCUGAUCCAGCGACGCCGCGUGAGUGAAGAAGUAUCUCGGUAUGUAAAGCUCUAUCAGCAGGGAAGAAAGAAAUGACGGUACCUGAGUAAGAAGCCCCGGCUAACUACGUGCCAGCAGCCGCGGUAAUACGUAGGGGGCAAGCGUUAUCCGGAUUUACUGGGUGUAAAGGGAGCGUAGACGGCCAGACAAGUCAGAAGUGAAAGCCCAGGGCUCAACCCUGGGACUGCUUUUGAAACUGCCGGGCUGGAGUGCAGGAGAGGUAAGCGGAAUUCCUAGUGUAGCGGUGAAAUGCGUAGAUAUUAGGAGGAACACCAGUGGCGAAGGCGGCUUACUGGACUGUAACUGACGUUGAGGCUCGAAAGCGUGGGGAGCAAACA
RNAcentral lists this ribosomal RNA (402 nucleotides) under uncultured bacterium. RNAcentral describes it as "bacterial SSU rRNA". It matches the Rfam family "Bacterial small subunit ribosomal RNA", at positions 358 to 774 of the family's 1533-position model. The record is from RNAcentral.